AGUGAACGUUAGCGGCGGGCCUAACACAUGCAAGUCGAGCGAGAAAAGGGUUUCGGCCCUGAGUACAGCGGCGGACGGGUGAGUAACACGUAGGUAACCUGCCCUUUGGUGGAGGACAACGGUCCGAAAGGACCGCUAAUACUGCGUACGUUCCCCGGGUCCUUGGACCUGGGGAGGAAAGCCGGGCAACUGGCGCCAAAGGAGGGGCCUGCGUCGCAUCAGCUAGUUGGUGGGGUAACGGCCUACCAAGGCGAAGACGCGUAGCUGGUCUGAGGGAAUGAUCAGCCAGACUGGGACUGAGACACGGCCCAGACUCCUACGGGAGGCAGCAGUGGGGAAUAUUGGACAAUGGGCGCAAGCCUGAUCCAGCCACGCCGCGUGAGUGAUGAAGGCCUUCGGGUCGUAAAGCUCUGUGGGGAGGGACGAACGUCCGGGUGUAGAGCCCGGGGUGACGGUACCUCCUUAGCAAGCACCGGCUGACUUCGUGCCAGCCGCCGCGGUAA
RNAcentral lists this ribosomal RNA (503 nucleotides) under uncultured bacterium. RNAcentral's name for it is "partial 16S ribosomal RNA". It matches the Rfam family "Bacterial small subunit ribosomal RNA", at positions 30 to 523 of the family's 1533-position model. The record is from RNAcentral.